Molecule: ribosomal RNA, 2660 nt
Filed under: Salmonella enterica subsp. enterica serovar Enteritidis
Lineage: Bacteria; Pseudomonadati; Pseudomonadota; Gammaproteobacteria; Enterobacterales; Enterobacteriaceae
Description: partial 23S ribosomal RNA
Rfam family: Bacterial large subunit ribosomal RNA
Source: RNAcentral
GAAUGGGGAAACCCAGUGUGAUUCGUCACACUAUCAUUAACUGAAUCCAUAGGUUAAUGAGGCGAACCGGGGGAACUGAAACAUCUAAGUACCCCGAGGAAAAGAAAUCAACCGAGAUUCCCCCAGUAGCGGCGAGCGAACGGGGAGGAGCCCAGAGCCUGAAUCAGCAUGUGUGUUAGUGGAAGCGUCUGGAAAGGCGCGCGAUACAGGGUGACAGCCCCGUACACAAAAGCGCAUGUGCUGUGAGCUCGAUGAGUAGGGCGGGACACGUGGUAUCCUGUCUGAAUAUGGGGGGACCAUCCUCCAAGGCUAAAUACUCCUGACUGACCGAUAGUGAACCAGUACCGUGAGGGAAAGGCGAAAAGAACCCCGGCGAGGGGAGUGAAAAAGAACCUGAAACCGUGUACGUACAAGCAGUGGGAGCACCCUUUGGGUGUGACUGCGUACCUUUUGUAUAAUGGGUCAGCGACUUAUAUUCUGUAGCAAGGUUAACCGAAUAGGGGAGCCGGAGGGAAACCGAGUCUUAACCGGGCGUUAAGUUGCAGGGUAUAGACCCGAAACCCGGUGAUCUAGCCAUGGGCAGGUUGAAGGUUGGGUAACACUAACUGGAGGACCGAACCGACUAAUGUUGAAAAAUUAGCGGAUGACCUGUGGCUGGGGGUGAAAGGCCAAUCAAACCGGGAGAUAGCUGGUUCUCCCCGAAAGCUAUUUAGGUAGCGCCUCGUGAAUUCAUCUCCGGGGGUAGAGCACUGUUUCGGCUAGGGGGCCAUCCCGGCUUACCAACCCGAUGCAAACUGCGAAUACCGGAGAAUGUUAUCACGGGAGACACACGGCGGGUGCUAACGUCCGUCGUGAAGAGGGAAACAACCCAGACCGCCAGCUAAGGUCCCAAAGUCAUGGUUAAGUGGGAAACGAUGUGGGAAGGCCCAGACAGCCAGGAUGUUGGCUUAGAAGCAGCCAUCAUUUAAAGAAAGCGUAAUAGCUCACUGGUCGAGUCGGCCUGCGCGGAAGAUGUAACGGGGCUAAACCAUGCACCGAAGCUGCGGCAGCGACACUGUGUGUUGUUGGGUAGGGGAGCGUUCUGUAAGCCUGUGAAGGUGUGUCGUGAGGCAUGCUGGAGGUAUCAGAAGUGCGAAUGCUGACAUAAGUAACGAUAAAGCGGGUGAAAAGCCCGCUCGCCGGAAGACCAAGGGUUCCUGUCCAACGUUAAUCGGGGCAGGGUGAGUCGACCCCUAAGGCGAGGCCGAAAGGCGUAGUCGAUGGGAAACGGGUUAAUAUUCCCGUACUUGGUGUUACUGCGAAGGGGGGACGGAGAAGGCUAUGUUGGCCGGGCGACGGUUGUCCCGGUUUAAGCGUGUAGGUGUGUGUUCCAGGUAAAUCCGGUUCACUUUAACACUGAGGCGUGACGACGAGGCACUACGGUGCUGAAGCAACAAAUGCCCUGCUUCCAGGAAAAGCCUCUAAGCAUCAGGUAACAUCAAAUCGUACCCCAAACCGACACAGGUGGUCAGGUAGAGAAUACCAAGGCGCUUGAGAGAACUCGGGUGAAGGAACUAGGCAAAAUGGUGCCGUAACUUCGGGAGAAGGCACGCUGACACGUAGGUGAAGUGAUUUACUCAUGGAGCUGAAGUCAGUCGAAGAUACCAGCUGGCUGCAACUGUUUAUUAAAAACACAGCACUGUGCAAACACGAAAGUGGACGUAUACGGUGUGACGCCUGCCCGGUGCCGGAAGGUUAAUUGAUGGGGUCAGCGCAAGCGAAGCUCCUGAUCGAAGCCCCGGUAAACGGCGGCCGUAACUAUAACGGUCCUAAGGUAGCGAAAUUCCUUGUCGGGUAAGUUCCGACCUGCACGAAUGGCGUAAUGAUGGCCAGGCUGUCUCCACCCGAGACUCAGUGAAAUUGAACUCGCUGUGAAGAUGCAGUGUACCCGCGGCAAGACGGAAAGACCCCGUGAACCUUUACUAUAGCUUGACACUGAACAUUGAGCCUUGAUGUGUAGGAUAGGUGGGAGGCUUUGAAGUGUGGACGCCAGUCUGCAUGGAGCCGACCUUGAAAUACCACCCUUUAAUGUUUGAUGUUCUAACGUGGACCCGUUACCCGGGUUGCGGACAGUGUCUGGUGGGUAGUUUGACUGGGGCGGUCUCCUCCUAAAGAGUAACGGAGGAGCACGAAGGUUGGCUAAUCCUGGUCGGACAUCAGGAGGUUAGUGCAAUGGCAUAAGCCAGCUUGACUGCGAGCGUGACGGCGCGAGCAGGUGCGAAAGCAGGUCAUAGUGAUCCGGUGGUUCUGAAUGGAAGGGCCAUCGCUCAACGGAUAAAAGGUACUCCGGGGAUAACAGGCUGAUACCGCCCAAGAGUUCAUAUCGACGGCGGUGUUUGGCACCUCGAUGUCGGCUCAUCACAUCCUGGGGCUGAAGUAGGUCCCAAGGGUAUGGCUGUUCGCCAUUUAAAGUGGUACGCGAGCUGGGUUUAGAACGUCGUGAGACAGUUCGGUCCCUAUCUGCCGUGGGCGCUGGAGAACUGAGGGGGGCUGCUCCUAGUACGAGAGGACCGGAGUGGACGCAUCACUGGUGUUCGGGUUGUCAUGCCAAUGGCACUGCCCGGUAGCUAAAUGCGGAAGAGAUAAGUGCUGAAAGCAUCUAAGCACGAAACUUGCCCCGA